This 574-nucleotide ribosomal RNA is filed under the name Nostoc sp. LCRSM-1419. RNAcentral's name for it is "bacterial SSU rRNA". It matches the Rfam family "Bacterial small subunit ribosomal RNA", at positions 111 to 720 of the family's 1533-position model. The record is from RNAcentral. Lineage: Bacteria; Bacillati; Cyanobacteriota; Cyanophyceae; Nostocales; Nostocaceae.
UAACGCGUGAGAAUCUAGCUCUAGGUCGGGGACAACCACUGGAAACGGUGGCUAAUACCGGAUGUGCCGGGAGGUAAAAGAUUUAUUGCCUAGAGAUGAGCUCGCGUCUGAUUAGCUAGUUGGUGUGGUAAGAGCGCACCAAGGCGACGAUCAGUAGCUGGUCUGAGAGGAUGAUCAGCCACACUGGGACUGAGACACGGCCCAGACUCCUACGGGAGGCAGCAGUGGGGAAUUUUCCGCAAUGGGCGAAAGCCUGACGGAGCAAUACCGCGUGAGGGAGGAAGGCUCUUGGGUUGUAAACCUCUUUUCUCAAGGAAUAAGAACUGAAGGUACUUGAGGAAUAAGCAUCGGCUAACUCCGUGCCAGCAGCCGCGGUAAUACGGAGGAUGCAAGCGUUAUCCGGAAUGAUUGGGCGUAAAGGGUCCGCAGGUGGCAUUGUGUGUCUGCUGUUAAAGAGUGAGGCUCAACCUCAUAAAAGCAGUGGAAACUACAAAGCUAGAGUGCGUUCGGGGUAGCAGGAAUUCCUGGUGUAGCGGUGAAAUGCGUAGAGAUCAGGAAGAACACCGGGGCGAAA